RNAcentral lists this ribosomal RNA (563 nucleotides) under Eikenella corrodens. RNAcentral's name for it is "bacterial SSU rRNA". It matches the Rfam family "Bacterial small subunit ribosomal RNA", at positions 61 to 612 of the family's 1533-position model. Lineage: Bacteria; Pseudomonadati; Pseudomonadota; Betaproteobacteria; Neisseriales; Neisseriaceae. The record is from RNAcentral.
GUCGAACGGCAGCGGGGUAGUGCUUGCACUACUGUCCGGCGAGUGGCGAACGGGUGAGUAAUAUAUCGGAACGUACCGAGUAAUGGGGGAUAACCAAUCGAAAGAUUGGCUAAUACCGCAUACGUCCUACGGGAGAAAGCGGGGGAUCGCAAGACCUCGCGUUAUUCGAGCGGCCGAUAACUGAUUAGCUAGUUGGUGGGGUAAAGGCCUACCAAGGCGACGAUCAGUAGCGGGUCUGAGAGGACGAUCCGCCACACUGGGACUGAGACACGGCCCAGACUCCUACGGGAGGCAGCAGUGGGGAAUUUUGGACAAUGGGGGCAACCCUGAUCCAGCCAUGCCGCGUGUAUGAAGAAGGCCUUCGGGUUGUAAAGUACUUUUGUUAGGGAAGAAAAGGGAAGUGCUAAUACCACUUUUUGCUGACGGUACCUAAAGAAUAAGCACCGGCUAACUACGUGCCAGCAGCCGCGGUAAUACGUAGGGUGCGAGCGUUAAUCGGAAUUACUGGGCGUAAAGCGAGCGCAGACGGUUAUUUAAGCAGGAUGUGAAAUCCCCGGGCUUAA